UACGGGGGGGAGCAAGCGUUGUUCGGAUUUACUGGGCGUAAAGGGCGCGUAGGCGGCGUGACAAGUCACUUGUGAAAUCUCCGGGCUUAACUCGGAACGGUCAAGUGAUACUGUCGGACUAGAGUACAGAAGGGGCAACUGGAAUUCUCGGUGUAGCGGUGAAAUGCGUAGAUAUCGGGAGGAACACCUAUGGCGAAGGCAGCUCGCUGGGACGUUACUGACGCUGAGACGCGAAAGCGUGGGGAGCGAACAGG
RNAcentral lists this ribosomal RNA (254 nucleotides) under uncultured bacterium. RNAcentral describes it as "partial 16S ribosomal RNA". It matches the Rfam family "Bacterial small subunit ribosomal RNA", at positions 524 to 776 of the family's 1533-position model. The record is from RNAcentral.